Molecule: unclassified non-coding RNA, 252 nt
Filed under: uncultured bacterium
Lineage: Bacteria
Description: contains 16S-23S intergenic spacer region
Rfam family: Bacterial small subunit ribosomal RNA
Source: RNAcentral
GACGAGGGGGGCGAGUGUUAUUCAACGUGAUUGGGCGUAAAGAGUACGUAGGCUGGUCAUAGAUUACGUAGGUCGAAGUUCACAGUGCAACUGUGGGUGGCGUACGUUUACUAUAGGCCUGGAGAGUAGAAGGGGUUUGCGGUAUUCUUAGAGUAGCUCAGUAGGUGUGGAAUCUAAGGAGACCUUCAGAGGCGGAGGCGGCAUGCCAUUCUGUUCUGACGUUGAGGUACGGAGGCUUGGGGAUCGAACAGG